GUUGGUUUUCGUUGUUUUGCUUAGCCUUUCUUUCAGGGAUGUCUGUUUUUCAGUACACACUCUGCCUUUUGAUAAUUGUAGGAAAAUGUGGAGCUAUCUCAGAUAAUAGAACCUGGCGUUGUCCACGACUAUUGGGAACAGAUCCUCCUGAAUGGAGCAGGACCUCUCUAGCCGUGUCCAGUGGACCCGUGAAUCAACAAAGCACAAAAACAUGUUUAUGACUGCACGCGGGCCGCCUCCGCUCCUGCGCCACGGCCUUCCUGGAAAUGCUCUCCAAGCAGGAGAAUGGUAAGGGAGGGGUCAGUGUGUUCACCCCUGCCGUGGGAUAAUCAGCACCUACCUUCCUUUUCUACCCAGUCGUGUUCCUGUAUCAGUCCAGCAAAGUGUUGACAAGUCGACUUUGAGACCCAUGAAUCAGCAAGGAAACUGAAUGAGCGAAUCCAUAAGGUUCUUACUAUAUUGCCCAGGCUGACCUUGAACUUCUAGCCUCAAAUGAGCUUCCUGUCUCUGCCUCCCGAGUAGCUGAGACUAUAGGUGCUUGUCAUCACACUUGACUCAGGUUAAAUUAAAAAAAUCAUGAGUUUACAAAGU
Long non-coding RNA from Sciurus carolinensis (gray squirrel), 591 nucleotides. RefSeq lists it as uncharacterized. The record is from RefSeq and is a predicted model, not a curated record. Lineage: Eukaryota; Metazoa; Chordata; Mammalia; Rodentia; Sciuridae. The transcript is spliced from 3 exons.